This 459-nucleotide ribosomal RNA is filed under the name uncultured bacterium. RNAcentral describes it as "partial 16S ribosomal RNA". It matches the Rfam family "Bacterial small subunit ribosomal RNA", at positions 338 to 795 of the family's 1533-position model. The record is from RNAcentral.
CCUACGGGAGGCAGCAGUGAGGAAUAUUGGUCAAUGGGCGCGAGCCUGAACCAGCCAAGUCGCGUGAGGGAAGAAGGUCCUAAGCAUUGUAAACCUCUUUUGUCGGGGGGCAAAAGAAGCCUCGCGAGGCGUACCGAGGGUACUUGAAGAAAAAGCAUCGGCUAACUCCGUGCCAGCAGCCGCGGUAAUACGGAGGAUGCGAGCGUUAUCCGGAUUUAUUGGGUUUAAAGGGUGCGCAGGCGGAAUACCAAGUCAGCGGUAAAAUCGAGAGGCUCAACCUCAUCGAGCCGUUGAAACUGGCUUUCUUGAGUGAGCGAGAAGUAUGCGGAAUGCGUGGUGUAGCGGUGAAAUGCAUAGAUAUCACGCAGAACUCCGAUUGCGAAGGCAGCAUACCGGCGCUCAACUGACGCUCAUGCACGAAAGUGUGGGUAUCGAACAGGAUUAGAUACCCCAGUAGUC